This 253-nucleotide ribosomal RNA is filed under the name uncultured bacterium. Its description in RNAcentral is "partial 16S ribosomal RNA". It matches the Rfam family "Bacterial small subunit ribosomal RNA", at positions 524 to 776 of the family's 1533-position model. The record is from RNAcentral.
GACAGAGGUGGCAAGCGUUGUUCGGAUUUACUGGGCGUAAAGGGUGCGUAGGUGGUUAGGUAAGACCUGUGGGAAAGACCUGGGCUUAACCCAGGAAGGUCGCAGGUGACUGCCUGGCUAGAGGACGGGAGAGGAGCGCGGAAUUCCCGGUGUAGCGGUGAAAUGCGUAGAGAUCGGGAGGAAGGCCGGUGGCGAAGGCGGCGCUCUGGAACGUUCCUGACACUGAGGCACGAAAGCGUGGGGAGCAAACAGG